This is a long non-coding RNA of Lycium barbarum (goji berry), 4975 nucleotides long. RefSeq lists it as uncharacterized. The transcript has 2 exons. NCBI's taxonomy places the organism in Eukaryota, Viridiplantae, Streptophyta, Magnoliopsida, Solanales, Solanaceae. The record is from RefSeq and is a predicted model, not a curated record.
UUCUCUCCUUUAUUUAUUUUUUAGCAGUUCUUUAUUUUGCUUUGCUAUGUGAUUAUAUGAUUUGUGUUUGUUAGUCAUGAUUAGUUAGCUAUGUAUGUAUGCUUAGUUUAGUUUAGUAUUUCCUUAAGUAAGUUAAUACAUGUUUAGCUUAGAUUAGUUCUGUGUUAUCUAGAUUAGUUUAGUUUGGUAAUGUGCCUGUAGAUUUUGCUUAACUUAAUCAACUGACAUGUGAUUUGCGUAGAAGAUUGCUAGUCCAUUAACAUGUUUGACUGAACUAAUGUUCUACCAUGUGCUUAAAGAGAUUCUUAGCAUCUCUAAUAUCUGUUUGCAUACUAACUUACUUGAUCAUAUGUUAGUAUUCCAGUUGAUUAGCAUGAAUUAUUUGGUUGUGACCUGUUAGUUUUUGUUUAUUAGAGGAGGUUUACAUUAGGAUACUCUGUUGAAUGGGAUGGAUUUGUUGGAAUUCAAUUCAGUUAUUAUGUUGGUAGUCGCAGUGUUUUUGCUCAAAAUUAGAUAAAUGACUAAGUAUGUGUGAGGGUGAAUAGAUUUGGAGUUCUGGGUGUUAAAUAUGCCUAGUUAAUUGCACUGUCCAAGCAUGUAUCUUUCUUGACUUAACUAAGUUUAUUAAAAAUGUUGUUUAUACACUUAGGGAAACAUGUCUAAAUUAAUCAAGUUAUAAGGGAUGAGGUGAAGUGUCACGACCUAAUUCGUGAAUCGUGAUGACAACUACACUGUCCCCAGGUAGGCGAACUAUUCCCAAAUCAUUUUAGUCAUUUAUAAGAAUUAUGCGGAAAUAAACAAUGAUUUAGCUAACAUAUUCAAAUUAUACAAAUAAUAAGUGCGGAAGUAUUAGUAACCCCAAAAUCUGAUUUGGACUAGUACAAGAGCCACUAUUACAUAGAUACAAGUCUGAUAAGAAGGACAAAUCUCAAAUAUUAAUAUUGUCUCAGAAAUACAAAGUAGACAGUUAAAUACAAAUAAGAGUUUUUAGGUUGCAGCUCUAGCCCAAAAGCUCACCCUAGAAUCUCUGUCAAGUAAACUCGGAUCACUCUCGAGGACGGGAACUGGGAUUGUUAACAAACUCUGCACCCAAAGAAGAGUACAGGAAGAGUAGAAUCAGUACAAACAACAAGUAGUGGUAGGUAUCAUAGGCUGACAAAAAUUAGUUCACAUAUAUGAGGAAAGAAAUCAACAAGUAGGCAGAUCAGCAAUCAAGCAUACUCACAAAUCACAAUAUCGUAAUAAACAAGGACUUCCGUCCACACAUACGUCAUACAUAAACUCACUUUCGAAGUAAUAAGCCUAGGUGAAGCUUCUAAACCACAAGUCUGUCGAGUCUCAAUAAUCUCAAAUCGAUAAUCACAAAUCCAAGUUCAGAACCUGGGUAGAGUUGCUAAUCUACAAUCUGGUCCAGUCCAAAAUCAGAUCUAUGCCACAACAAUGGUACAAGCGAACCAUACCAAAUCAGAAAUAAAGAGCCAUAUGAUGAUGCAGGAUAAAAUGUAAUGAUGUGCAUGUUGACACCUACUUUUCACCUCAUAAGAUGCGUAUUUUAAUUUUUCAAAUUUCCCGAGUCAAGACGGAGUAGGGAUACACCCUUUAAAAAUUAAAAUUUAAAAAUCUCGAGAAAAUUGCAAAAUGACGUUUAAUUGUUACUUCCUGAAAAUUGACGACUACGAGAAAUAUGAGUUAUUUACUUUCAUCCUAUUCUGUCUAAUUCGGGAAAUUGUUAAUUAAGAACGACGUGUGAAUUACGGCUCAUUUUAAUCGCAUUUUUACAUAUUUGAAAUAUUGCUCGGAACUAUGUCAAUAAUGGGCUCGUUUUAAAGCUCGCAUUUUAAUUCUACAAAUUAUGGUUUUUAUUGGUCCAAAUAAUUAUUAUUAUUAGUAUUUUAAACCAAUAUAUAUAUCUCUGACACAUGUUUUAUUAUACAAAAGGAGGGGUCAUUUUUUAUCUUGUAUGGUACAAUUUGAUUCAUUUGUACCUUUGUUGGUACUAUUUGCAUGAUUAUUGCUGCCAUGUGUACUAUCCUUGUACGAAUUUGUUGAAAUUCUUUUGUCUUAUUCUAAUUGGGUUACAAAUUUGUUAGUUGGAUUUUUUGUCUAAUUUGAUUUUUGGAAUUAUGGAUAAGGUCUUUUGAAAAUUAAGGGUCUUGGGGGGAAAAGGUAUGAUCAUGCGUACUAUCAUAGUACAAAUUUGUUGAAAUUCUUUUGUCUUAUUCUAAUUAGGGUACAAAUUUUUUAGUUGGAUUUUUGUAUUAUUUAAAAAUUUAAAAAGAUAAAGGGGUUUUCAAAGAUUUUGUGAAGUGUUGGUGCUUGAAUUUGGUGGAUUCAAUCCUUCCUUUUGAUCUUUAGGUUGCCCCAUUAAAAGGUAACCUCUUAGUCUAUCCUUUGUUUCAUUCUAGUUAUGAUUAUGUAUUUAUUAUGAUGCUUGUGUUAGUUAAAAAUAAUUAUGUGCUAACUUAGUCCUCUUUUGAUGAUUAAGUGGAUAUUAUGUGAGUUUGAUGUCAUUUGAAACUGUAAAAUGAAUUAAAAGCUUGAUUUAGAUGAUGUUAAGUGAUCUUGGGUUAGCUAAGUUUGAUAAAAAUGAGAAAAAGAAUAGUUUAUGUUGGAGCUUUGACACUGUUUUAUUGACACUGAUAGAUUUAAGUAUAGUUUAGUCAUUCUUGUUAGUUUUUGAUAGGAUACAAUUAGUUCUUGUGAAUCUGUCACUAGUCCAUGGCAAUUUUAUGCAUUUUUUGAUCUUGUUUGGCUAUUUUAAUAAUUAAGAAAUUGGUUGAGUAGAUUAUAGGAUAGAGGUUGUUUGUUUGUUGAGUUAAUAUAUCUCUAAGUCUCAAAAUGUGCUUUCCCUAGCCUGUUUUAAUCUUGAGUGUUGAGAAGUCGACCUUUUUUUGUCAUUUGAUUGAAUAUUGAUUGUUUUAAAGUGCACUUAGCGUUUCAAAUCAUUUUUUUUUAGAAAAAUAUGAUAGUCUUAGGUUCUAAAACUGGAUUAGUGAAAGUUUUCUUUCAAAAUGAAUGAUGGAGUCUUGUUUUGAAGCUUUGAGUGGGUUUUAGAAAAAACCAAGUAGCCUGUUUUUGAGUCUUGUUAGGAUUUGUAGCUUGCACCUUCAAUUUUCACUUGAAUUAUUUGCCUUAAUUUGAUUAUGAGGAAUUUUUUGAUCAAUAAAACUUGUUUGUUUUGCUUGGAUGUCUUUCUUAACACCUAGAUUGCUGUCAAAAGAUUUUAAAAAGAAUGAGGAAUUACUCUUGAAUAUAUAGUUGAUCCUGGUUGAUCCUGGGCCACUAUAAUUUUAGUAAUUUGCCGAUGCUGUGCGUUUUUACAUAAACUGUCCUUUUAUUUAUGAGUAUGAUAAUUAUGGGCUUGAAAGCAUUGUAAUUCAUUUUUUGGCUUUGUAAAUUAAAUAAUUGACCUCGGCUAUUUACUAAUGUUUUGUACACCUAUCUUUGUGACUUCCCCAAUUUGUUGGUGGGUCUAUCGAGGCCCACCAACUCCAUCGAUCGAGUCGACCUAAACCAUGGAUAGGCUGAGCAAUUGGAGCAGAUUUGGAGCGGAUAAGUUUAAAAUUGCAUUUAUUUCUGUUGGGCUUGGUCGAGUGAGUACGCGGUCGUCCCACCGCCUUAGGGAACCCAUACCUAGUGAGUAACCUAUGUCAUUUGCUUGGAAAACCACUCUAGAAUAAUUAGUAUAGAGCGGAGCCAAAUCCUUACUGAUGUGCAUACUGAUCAUAGACCGAUUUGGGUAUCUCAGACUUACCUGAAUCGGACAGGACAGACACCAUACUAUGUUCAGAUGGUGUAAAAACCCGAAGGCACUACAUCCCACCACUGUCUAUUUGGAAGCAUCAUUGUGCCUUGUGUGAAAUAAAUUAUUGUUCCUGGGGGCGGGGAGCUAACAGUGUUUUGUUUUGUAAAUGGAUAUUUCUGCCUUUAUUUACUUUAGAAAGCAUUGUAAUCCCACUUCGGAAGAUAUUAUUAAUAAAAAGCAUUGGGAUUUUUGCUUUUGUGAAACAAUAAAGUUGUUUUACAUAUGACACAAUUUUGCUUCAUAUGCUAGUAGCCUCGGAGCAACAAGGUAUUGGAAAAUGAAUUAUAUACUGUCUAAAUACUUAUUUGAUAUAACUGCUUUGCGUGAAAAUCAUAUAUAUUAUUAAACUCUUGAUUAGCCCACAUCCCGGACACCGCCUAAAAGAAAAACCAAGAAGACAACCCACAAAACUAAUUUAGCUCCACUCUCAAAAGGUUGAUUUGCUAAUAGGAAAUGGAGACUUCGAACAGGUGCAAAGAAGAUUCUCAAUAAAAUGAUGUUGCCUAAUUUCAGAACAAAGGUAUAUAGAAAUAGAGAACAAGACUGAUCACAUGCAGCUGAUCAUGCAAACAAGUGAAGACACAAGUUGGAGUUACACAAACAGAAGGCUCAUGAUAACAGCUUCAUAGGAUUGUUGUAGUCCUGGUUGGAUAACUAAGGUUAUCCUUGUUAGUGUGUGGUAUUAACAGGAAUGUUCAUCCUACUAACAGGAUUUCUUUAGUUACCUAGUCCAGUUACACACAUUCCACAUGACUGAUUGUGUAAACUUGAUUAUAAGGACAGUAACUAGGAGGAACUUCAUACUACACUGCUUCUUGAAGGAUCUUCAUUGAGAUUUGAUACCAUAGCACCUGGUGAGAGCUUGAUGUGAUUGAUAAUGGCAUCAAUCCAAAGAAGGAGUGUUCUUGUUUGCAGUUUUUCAUUGUUACACUUGGCUGCUCAAACAAGGACUAGACUUUUCUUUCAUUUCCUAUGGAGACGACGACUUGCUUAUUCCCAAUUUGAAGCAGGGAGCUUACGGGGACCCACGCGAAUCUCAGCUCAAGGAACCUCCGUUUUCAUGCACAGUUUUUCUCAACAGCACAAGAUCGCACAAUUGGGGUGCGCCAAUAGAAAUGUCCAAACGAGAACUCUUAGAGACUUUGGGCAGUUUUGAGGUGUACGCGCAAA